UGUGACUAAAUCCAGCUAAUGGAUUGAAAAAAAGAAUAAGGUUUCAAAAAAAAAAAAAAGAAAGAUAUUCCUGCAUGUUUUCUAGUAACUAGGGUGGUGUCAUAUAAUAUUCUACUAAAAACUCAUGUGAACAGUCAUUUAACUCAGGACCACUAUGGUUAAUUAUAAAGUAAAAUAUUGACUAGCAUAAUGCAUUUUAGAUUAAAACUUUAUAACAAAUUUUUAUUAUCAAAUACUACUUGUUGAGUAUUUAUAAUGGGUCAGAUAAUGGAAUAAACAUUUUAAAUGUAAAAGAUUGUUAAUACAAAGAUGUAAAUGGAAGAGCUUGUGGGUGAGAAUAAAAAUGGUACAGUCCUCUCAGAAGGGCCAUUUGUUGGUGUUAUCAGCAUCCUAAAUGCAUGUGUCCUGUAAUGGCUCACCUCUUCCUUGUUGCUUUACUAGAACUACAUUCUAUCUAUGCUGUAGAAAUAUUACCAUAUACACAUAAGGCUGUAUAUGGUAAUUGUAAGAUUGUUUGUAAUAAAUAAAAAUCAAAAGCAACCUAAAUGUCAAUUAAUAGGAAAACUGUUAUGUAUGUUUUGGAAAUGCCAUACAUUUCCAAAAUAUCAUAUGGAUAUGAUAUGGAAUAUCAUAGAACGAUUUUGAAAUGUGAGACAGAUCUCUAAGGACUGAUGCGGAAAAAUGUUCAUGGCCAACUUUUUAAGUUUAAAAAACACACCCUUAUUUUUGAAGUGUAUGUAGAGCAUAUUCCUAUGUUUUUGUUAAAGAAACCCUCAUAUAUAUAUAUAUAUAUAUAUAUAUAUAUAUAUAUAUAUAUAUAUAAAAUUAAAUCUGUAAGUGCAUGUAAGUCAUGUAUUAUGAACUGAGUGAAUAUUUGUGUCUCUCCAAAAUUUAUAUGUUGAAGACCUAACCCCCUUUGGGAGAUAAUUAGGGUUAGAUGAGAUCAUGAGGAUGGAGUCCCUUGAUGGGAUUAGGGCCCCUAUAAGAAAAGGAUGAGACUAGAGCUCUCUCUUUCUAUCAUAUGAGGGAAGCAAGAAGGCAGCCUUCUGCAAGCCAGGAAGAGAGCCUUUAUCAGAAUUCAACCAUGCUGGCACCCUGCCUUCAGAACUGUGAGAAAUAAAUGAGUGUUGUUUAAGCUACCCAGUCUAUAGUUUUUUUUAAUAGCAACCUGAGCUGAUGAAGACAAUAUAGGAUUCCGGAUAGACUCUAUUGCAUGACUAUCUGUAAGAUGAGGUGGGAAGAGGGAGAAAUUCUCCCUUUUCCAGCAUACACUUCUUUAUUGUUUGAAUAUUUGUCAAGUACACAUUACUUUUAUAGUUGAAGAUUGGGAGGAGGGAAGGAGGGGAGGAAAGAAGGAAGGAAGAAAGGAAGAAAGAAAAAAGGAAAACUACCACUCUGAAGGCCCAAAGUCCACAUUGCUUUUUCAUGAAUUAUUCUGUUUACCAUUUGCAGAAUAUUAAGUUACCAAUUCUAAAGCCACUUCCUCCUUGGAUGACCUUAAGGGGAAAAAAGAAAAAAGAUACCCUCACAUCCUCAGCUCCUCCUAUAAAAUAAAUGGGCUUUACAGAAGAGACUAUUAUGUUUUGUGAAGUAUUUUCAAAUAUAUCGUUGAAGGAAACUUAAACAGAAUAUUAAGUUGGAAUUGGAUUGCAUUCCCCUUUGAAGGAUUAGGUUCUAAAGUCAUGCCUUUCCUGUCUACUAUGUCCUUUUUUGUUUUCUUCUACAUUAGAACCUAGUUGGAGUCCUCUAACGUGCUUAUUUUUCUAUUAAGCAGAGCCAUCAGAGUUCACCUGUUCCCUAUUGUCUCAAAGUGUUUGCCCUUCAUUUUUCCUUUAGACUAUAUAUAGACUGUUUAAUUUUGGUUUGGAUCUUUAGAGAAAUUCCAAGAGACACUCUUGGUUCUAAAACAUAUAGAGAGGCUGGGUCUUCAGAAGUUUUCUCGUGGUUUUGGUGAAGGCUAUAAAUGAAUGAUUUAUUUAUAGAUAAAUAAAUCCAUCCAAGAUGGUUUGCAGAUUGAUCACAUGAAAAGUUGAAAGAAAGAAAAACAAAUCACAAUAUCAGACCUUAACUAACUCAAGUCCACAAAUUGCAAUUUUGAGGGGAUCGUGUAUAAAAAUCUCUUUUAAGCAAAAUUGCUCAAGUAAUUCUUGUGUAUCUUACUGAAGACUAAUAGUUGGAAAUAAAUUAUCUGGUAUUGAUCACAAAAGCCCAUGAAUGAGACCACAAAGGCAAAUAUUUCUGACUUUCUGGUGAAGCUCAUAUUGGCAUGCAAGCUUUGUCCAUAAAAUGUGUCCCUUGCUUAUGAUAGGAUGUAGGGGUUAUGAGUAAGACAAAUGCCAGAUGUGGGGAAGGAUGUUCAAGUGUUGCAAUGGGAGAGAAAGUUUUGGCUUAAGAAAAUCUAUAGAGUACCCUUCUCUCAAACAGAGGUACCAAUAUUAUCUGUUCUCAUACUUUGGUGAGCAUCAUAAGACUAAUCACAUUUUAUAAAUUCUGUGAGUCAGAUGUGCCCCUUUCUUUGGGCUCUCAGAGAUCUCAGGCUGUUGCAGGGAUUUCUGUUAGUGGUUUUGAACAGCUCUUAAACAAAAAUCAGGUUCCCUGAUUCUAAGUAAUUUUUAUCUGUAAUGGAUUAUUAGAGCUACAAAGAAAUGCUCAACAAAACCUCCUAUCCUUAGGGAUUUACAAAUAGUGGAAGUGGUAUAAGAUGGUGAAUGUCAGAAAAAGAAAUUGUGGUUUAUUUAUUACAGUAAACCUCAAAUUCAUUUUCAGUUAUCAAAAAACUACAGAGGAAGAGUCUAUGUCAUAUAAACAGAUAUUUAUUUUUCUAUUUUAAAAAGUUGUUUUAGGGAAAAUUCCAAACAUACUCAAAAGUUGAGAGAAUAAUGCCAUGAAGUUGAGUACCUGUUACCCAACUUCAUUAAUUAACAACACUCUGUCAUUUGUUUCCAUUUUUGCCCAAUUUUUUUUUUUGGAGUAUUUUAAGGAAACCCCAACAUAAUAUUGCCUUACCCAUAAAUAUUUCACUGUAAAAAAGACAUUGAAAACAAAGAUUAACCAAAAAAUAUGACUGUAUAUACAUAACAAAGUUUCAUCUACUGACUUAUUAUUUGAAACCUCAAAUUGUUUUAUAUUUUAUAUGUUGCCUCUACUUUAAAGUGAACAACAUAAGAUUAUCAUAAGAACCAUUAAUAAAAUAAGCUCUAAGAUAAUUUGUAAACUAAUAGAUGUUAAAGCCUCUUAAAAAGCAAAAUUAUACUCUAUAAAUGUUUACUUUUUAAACAGUUGUUUGUUUUUAAAAAAAUAAUACAGUCAUGACACAACAUACACAUUUUUAAAUUACUGCUGUUCAUUAGCCAAGAAAUAGUCAAGAACAUUCAAAAUAAUUUUAAAUAUUUGCUUAUACUAUCCAUAAUCAAGAAAAAUAUAGAGUUAUCCAUAAGAUAAUUACAUUCAUUUAUUUUUUGUAAUUCUCUUACCCAGUAAAGUCCUCAAAAAUAUGAAAGGUGCUUAUUGGGUUUCAUCCACUGAAUUGUAGUUCUAAUUAAUAAUGCAUUAACAAUCAGUUCAGUACUGAAAACUCUGUUUCAAAGUAGAUGCUGACUAUUGUGUUUCUCAUUCAUCUACUCAUUUAGUUUAGAGAAGACUGACAGACUCAGCAACCCACUUGCAAAUAUUGGUACUUUCUUGUUUUUUCCCAUACUUAAAUGCAGUUCUCAAAUGCUGACUUGUUCCAAGUCUUCUAGCCUGCAGUGAUGACUUUGACCAUUUGGAUUUAAAUAAAGCUGCUUCAACUCCCAUAAUGAGACUAGGAAACCCUGUGAGAAAUUCCUUUUCCAUCUCAAUAUUUCAGGGGAUCUUUGUGGGAUUAAAAUUCAUUAUUAUGUCCUCUUGUUCUACUUCUCUGUGUCUACUGAGCUCCCAACUUUUGAGCAUUCUGUUAUUUUGCUGCCUACCAUUAUCCCAUACUGGAUACUGUCCAGAUCGUUUCACCUUCCAAAGGACCAUUCUCACAAGACUGCAUGAUCAGGCAACUUUUACUGGUGUUUUGGGAGUAAUUCAAGAAUAAUUAUUUUAUAACUGCCAUGAUUGCCUUUGGCACAUCCCUGUCCCCUGCACACCUACAGAUGGCCAGCUCCACCCACAGAUGGCCGUGGCAUUCAGUUACUUUGCUGGGCAUUUCCCUCUCCCUCUCUUGCCUAGAUCCUUUAUUGUGUCCCUGCCCUUGAAACUUAAAUUUCUUACCUUCUCUGCUGAAUCAUUCAGUUCUCUUUGACUAACUUAUCUGAUUGAGAGACUGUGCCUGAGUGCUUCACCUUUCGUAUUUGGAAAACAGUUUUUCUAAACCCACAGCAUAUCAUAGGGAGAAAAACAUGUCAUUCUCCCAGGAGAUGGGGACUCUAGUCAGGUGCAGCUCAGGUGCACCUUUACAUGGCAGUUUUUGCCUUCUUGGCUACAGAUAUUCUCAUCUUUAUUUUUCUCUCUUCUCUCUCCCUUCUUUAUUCAUCUCUCUCUUUAUCAAACCACUCAUCCAUAUACACAGUAUAACUAUAUGUUUGAGUAAGGGCAAACUCACAUACACAUAACCCUUCCUUGACUGUUCCUGAGCUCGCUUCUCCAGAAAGCACAUAGGAAAAUAUGGUGUGGGCAAGUUAGGCUUCCUUGUAAAUGUGGGAAAAUUCUUGUAUGGGUUGCUUCCCACAUAUGCCCCUCUGGAUGAUAAAGUAGAUGGAUUCUAUGAAAAUUGUUUCAUUGCUGGGAAGCCAGUAAAUUUUCAGAAGCCUUCACAGGAUGAUAGAGUCUGGAGACAGAGCAACAGAGAGAACCCAAAACAGACAUCCCUUUACAACAUGACCACUUUACUUUUGCUUUGUUUACAUAUUCUAAGACUGUAAGCUUAUGUUUUUGUUAGCGAGCCAACUUAAUUUUUUAAUAGUCUUAUCAAAAUUUGAUUCUACAGCAUCCACUCAUUGGCUUUGGGUCUAUUCUCUGGAGUCUUACAAAAUAAGUUUAUUCAUUCUUUCAAAGAACAGCCUUUCAAAUAUUUGAAAACAAUUCUAAUUUCCCCAUAAAGUCAUCUCUUCUCAGGCUAAAUAUCUUUUGUUUCUUCAACAAUUCCUUCUAUUUUGUAUCUUCCAGACCCCUUACCUUCCCUAUUGUAUUACUUUGGAGUCAUUCCAUUUUGUCACUAUACACUCUCAAAAUGCCUUAUCUAGCAGAAUAACUUGUACAAAACAGAUGGAUAAAUGCCGAGAGAAUUUAAUUUAACCAAACAUCAUACUAUAUCCAGUGCUGGGUCCAUCUUUCAUCUGGACAUUACACUUUUAUUAAUACAACAUAAGAUUGCAUUAGCUUUAUUAUAAAUCACAUUGACUUAUAAUGUAAUAUCUCCUGACAUUUUUCUUAUAAUCUUACAUUCCUUCGUUUGCAUUUGGUUAUCUGAUUUCCUGAAUCUAAAUGCAAAAAUUUAAGUUUAUGCUUAUAUAUUUCAUUUUGUUGGCUUUAUCCCAUCUUUUCACCCUUUCAAAACCUCAGAAUUUCAAUCUCAUUAUCAAAAAUAUCAGCUUUUCCAACAUUAAUUGAGUCAUAUAUAAAUGCAUUGGGUUUAGGUUUACCUUUUGUCUCUAUCCAAGGGUUUGAUUGUUAAGGUAAAAGUUCAUUGCAGUUAUGGACUUGUUACUCUUUCUUUGCUUCUGGCUCUGGCUGGCAUUUUAGGACCACAUGCCUUUUGGGAAGAUUGCAGGAUAUGUAUCAGAUCUGAUCAUACACAAGCAUCGUCAGCCACCAUGUGGCAUCCGUGGAGUUGUCCUCCCAGCUUCCCACCUCUGUGUGUCUUUUAAGCAUCCACAUACACAGAUUCUCACUUCUUCUGUCACUCAGUACCCCGAAGAGCACGGCCACUGCCAUCUGUUUCCAGGCACCAGGCCUGGAUGUUGCUGUGGUUGAAGCCUAUAAUUUUCCCAUGCUGUGGUCUCUCCCAGGCUCUCCUGCUACUGCUAUUUCCCUGAAUCACCCAGGGUGCCAAAGCUCUGAGUGUUCAGCAGCAAAGUAGAGGGAGAAUAUCGGCUUCUAAUUUGAGUGUUUUGUGUACCCUCUCAUUUGACAAUAUUUUUGUAAAAAUUGCUUGUAUUAGUUUUUGUUUUUCAUUGUGAUAAUGCUGUCCCACAGACAAUACCAACAUAUGUGUGUUUUACAAAAAUCAGCAUUUAAUUUUGACGAUGGAUUUAUGGAUUGGCUAUGGCUCUGCUGGACUCGGGUGGAUGGACUGAGCUUGUAGGCUGCAGGUUGCAUUCAGAUUAAUCCAUAAAUCAUCUACUUCGGCUUCAACAGUUACUUGGGGAGCACCUGUGGGCAUCUUUCCUCAACGCCCGGACUACAAAUCUCUAACACGAGUUGUUGGCUGAGGACAGAUUCUCAUGGCCGGAAACCACCACUUCCCUUGGACAUGCAUGCGUUGGCUGGGUACUGGGAGCCAUAAUUCGUUUCCUCUUAGAGAAAUGUCUGCUACAGAGACAAACUGAAGUUUGUGUAUAUCGUGCUGAUUCAGAAGAGAAUGAAGGCAUUUGUCAAGAGAUAAUGUCAGACUAAUCAGACAUGUUCCAAUCGAUUAAUGCAUUUGGAGGAUUUCCAAAUAUUUGCUGAUCUAAGGACGGUGAGGUAUAUGAUGGGAAACAAAUCUGAGAAAAGAAGGAUGGUAGAUGCUUUCCCAUUGUGACCUGUGAUCAUUUUGGUAAGAACACUUUACUCAAUUAAGAGGCGAUCAAGUGAUUCCAGGCCUGCUGCUAAAUAAUUAUGAGAUGAUAUUUGGAAAUAUGUAUUUCUCCUUUACCUCCUGAAGCCACAGGUAUGUGCCUGAGGUUCUCAACAAAUGGCUGAUUAUCUCUCAGAAUAUUCAGUUGUCUGGUAGCUGGCACUAAUAGCUCAGAAUAAGCUAUAUUUAACUUCAGGAUCCAUCUGGACUCUUGGCCACUAGUGGUAGGUAAUACUAGUUGCCGAAUUCAGUUUCUCUGAGCCUGUGAAAACUGCCUGAUUUUAUUUCAAAUUCAUUUUGCAUCCUGUGGGAUGGAUUUGAGAUCAGGGCAAAAUAUUCAACCUUAUUUUUGUUAAUCUUGCCCCAAAUAUGAUCCAGAUUAACCUUUCUUAACACAAAUUUGCAUUUUUUACAAAUAUCAUUUUUAGUGAAAUUAAAAUCUAUGAUUAUUAACGUUAAUAUUGUGCAAGUAGCAUUUGUAAUAUAAAGUUUUCAAAAAAGGAAGAUAAUUUUAUUUACUGGAGACUUAUUUUGCCAUUUUCAACUUGGAAGCCCAGGACUCAAACAAAAGUAUUGUUUGAAAACUGUUGGGGUUGAUUAUUACUUAUGCCGGAAGUUUCAAAAAAAAUUUUUAGAAAAAAAGAAAGCUGUCUUGUUCUAAUAAUUUGAAAUUUUAACAGUUAAAUUAUUGCUAAAUUUGCAUAAGAUUUGCUCUGUAAGACAAUACUUUUUAUAAUUGUUAACAUGUAGUUGUUUUACUUAUUUGUGCAUACUAGGUUAAUAUAUACAUAGUCAUAUUAAUAUAUGUUUGUAUGUAUACAUACUUAAAUAUAAAUUUUAUUUUUUAAAUGCACGAUUUAAGAUUUUGUCAUAAAUUGUUAUAAAUUGUUUUGUGGAGUUUAUGCAUUUUGUAAAUUUGAUGGUGGCAGAUGGUGUACAUGUGAGUUAAUUGAAUAGAUCUUUCAUAGUCUGGCACUUUUUAUGCUUUUAGAAUUUGGAGAAGUUAGUCUUUACUGAUGAAUAGAGAGCUAUCGUACUUUAGAAACUAUUGAGCAAACAUAAAAUUUUAAGAACAACUUAUUUUUAUCCUAUGGAUUUUCCUAUUAUAUUUAAACUUGCUCUUUUAGUUUGUUUUUAGAGCUCUCCUCAAGAAACAUACUCUUUGUUUUUAACGCUCAAUCCUUUUUUAUUCUUUGUAGAAACUAGUGGUCUCCUAUUAAGUAAAUAGAUGUGGGUCUCAUUAGAGGGAUCCAUUCUAAAACAGAAGAGGACAACACUCAGGGAGGGCUGCAAUGAGACAGAGAAUCCUGAGAUUGUUCCUCAUGUGCAGAUCUUCACCUGGGGCUGCAGAAGACUGUACAGCUAUAGACAAAAUAAUGAUAAGGUACAGAUGUCGUGGAAAGCCAGAACAUAGGAGUGAAUCCAUCCUACAGUCUGAAGGCGGAAACAAAGCCAUAAAUGGGGUUGGGGGAGAAACCCUGUGGUAAGAAUCUGUAGAGAUGAGGAAAAAAUUGUAGGAUUUAAGGUAGGUUAGGAACUGGCAGUUCAGAGCAAUGCCAGGGUAUUAGAAACUCACUCUCGUGUCAUCUAAGUUUCCCAAUAUAGGAUUGAGUGGACCUCAUCAUAUUAGCCACAUUCAAGGAAUAUAUGUAUGUUAUAGAAGUCAAUGGUUACAUUAAAAUAUUAAGUUUGAACACAAGUUCUAAUUUAUUUUUAUCAUUAUUUCUUAAUAGCAAUUAAUUCUUUGGGGCUUCAAUUACUGACUGUAUUCCAAACGGUUACCAACAGUUCACUUCUUUUAUUGCAGAACUUACACCAUUUCCAAAUAACCAAUGUAAAUUUUUACCUCGGAUAUUAUUUUGUUACCCGCAAACAACAAAUGUGAAUUUAGAUUUAUCAUCUUCGUCGGGGACUGAAUUUCCCCUGUAAUAUUGUUUUUUGUUGAUUUGUUUGUUUUGUAGUGGCAUCCCCUGCCCCUAUGUACCUAUGUUUGAUUUAUCUUUUAUUUCCUUCUUUUAUACUUAAACCUUAAGGUGGAUUGGAAAGUUGAUAUCAGUGACACAAAGUUUAGUUGAUUGGGUACUUUACAUUUCUACUUGACUUUGUACAUUUCUGAUUUAUAUGAACAACAAGCAACUCAGACUAAGCCUCCUUCAUUGCCCUAAGAGGUCUACUAUAUUUCUAGUGAUUUUACCUAGGGGAUCUAUACAUGUACUAACAGUAGAAAUUAGAGGUGCAACACUACUGGCCAGAAUAUAGCAACAUCCUAAGUACAUUAAUAAUGUGUAAAGUGCCCAGCAUGUAAGGCACAAAUAAAAAUAGGGAAUGUCAUUUUAUUAAAUUAUCAGAAGUUAUGGGUCACAUUCAAACAGAAAUAUUCUAAGAAAUUCAAUUCUAAGAAAUUCAACUUACUUUUAAUGUCAAUGUUUCUGAAAUUGGUAAACAUCAUUGACGUCAAAAAGCCUUCUAUGCAUGAAAUAAAUUAUACUUGUCAUUUCUGAGCUUAUGGUAACAUGGUCAAGAAUUAAAGGUAUAUUCAUCUGACUUCUGUUUCAUCAGGCUGCUAUUUGAGAAGGGUUAUUUGCCUUAGUACCAUCAGCAGUGGUUGAAUUUUAUAUUUGGUUCUGCAUUUGUCAUUUAAAAUGUCCACAAAAAGAUAACCCCCUUAAGGAGCAUUAGAACUAGAAGUUACUGUGAACCUAGACGAUCGCCUGUUUUUUGCCAUCUAGCAUAAUGAAGGUCGUAGUAUUGCCAAAGUUUUUCGAAUUCACUGUAGUUUUUUCAAAACUAGAUAAAAACUCUGACCAAUUUUUGAGUCCUGGGGGACUAUCACUUCAGCCAUAAACACAAACAAGUUAACUAGAAUUUAACGAAAUAGUAAAUGGAGAAAAAAAUUCUAGAAUUACCUGAUUUGUUUCUAAAUUAUACUGUUGCUCCUAAAAAUGUUAAGAAAUUAGGGUCGUGAGCACUGUUGGUCACUAUGAUGAUAUGCUUACCCACUGAUGGUCAAAAUUUAUCAGAAGAAUUUUUAGAUUUGGACUAUGUCAUGGCUUAGAUGCUGAUACUGAUGAAUAAAGUGACAUGCAAUUUUAUGGAUAAAUGAAUGUUACUGUUAAGUAGUUUUUAAAUAUGUACAUUUUAAUAUAAUGUAUUUCCUCAAAAUGCUAUUCUCAAUUUGAUGAUAUGCCUUGAAAAUCAAUACUGUUUUAGGAAGAAGGAAAUGUGGUAAAUUAAUGGUGUCAUUAGAAGAACGGAGGUUGCCAUAGAACCUCAUUUGCUUUACUCUUAGGAUGUAACUUUUAAAUUUAUUCUUAUUUGAAUUUUCUUAUCUUCCAUACUGAACAGGAAGCUUAUUGAAUGAACAAACCAUGAGUACAAUUAGCAUAUACCUAAAUUGAUUUGCAGUGAAAAGGUGCUUCAUAAAUUCUUGUUUGCCUGAAGAAAUUAGGAGGCAAAGGAGCAUCAAAACAAAAGGGAAAAUAAGAAUUAAAGUGAGAUGCUGUAUCAGAGGCCAAGUAAAGAUGCUGGUCUGCCUAAUCUGACUUUCUGACACUGAGAGGCAAACCUCCAAAAUUUCCACCUAUCUACAUACAUUCAUUCACUCACUCACCCAGUCUCUAUACAUUAGGAAGUCAUUGCUUUAUGUUAACCCUUGGUUUUGAAAAAGAAUGCAAAAUUAAAUGAAGAAUAAACUCUGUUUAAAAGGGAGGGUUUGUUUGACAGGCAUAUGUAUAAACACUGGAAAUUAUGAGAGUACAGAGGGUUUCCAAUUUUCCACAUACAGAAAGAGUACUAAAAAAUGGUGGUGUGUUCAGAGUAAUGGCAAACUUAAUUUAAUUUCAUGCCUUCAAGCAAUAUUACUUUAUUUAUUGAGAAUUUUAACACAAAGCAAUCAUUUGUAUAUCACGGAUACCCAGAAAGAAUAAAUAUUGUGGUUCUAAUUCCUACACUUUGAUUUAUUAGUCUUUAGUUUAUUUGAAUGUCAUGUCACAGAGUACAGCUAAUAAAAGCAUGAACAUUUGUCUUUGAGCAAGUUUGAUCUGAGGUGAGUAACAUUAAACAAUAGCCUAUUGACAAGCAAUUAAACACCACUUCUUUUCUUAGGAGUGUUUUGAAUUACAUUUGUUCUAACUAGUGGCAGCAUCUUUUGUGUUUAGAAUUCCAAUAUAAUCUUAGAUGAGAAGAAUCUUUUAAUUAGAUUUUCAAUAGAAUCGGCCAAGACCCACUGCUCACCAUCUUGACUCUUUGUCUUCAUUGAUUUGGACCAAAACAAAACAAAGAUAAAUAGCAAAAUUCAUUAUCAAUGUUUAUUUCAACUGUCUAUUGUCAUUUCCUCAGGGUAUACAACACAGUUUUCCGCAGACAGAAUGCUGUGUUUCUUACUUUUAGCUUUAGAGCUGUAUAUUCAACAAUUCUGUGUCAUGGAAGAACCUAGCUGAGGCAAAAAAAAGAAAAAGGUAAUUUUCUUCUUCCAUUUACACGUAAAAUGUUUAUUUGAAGAAUAAGAAAUAAGCAAAGAGACAGGAGAAGGAAAUUGUGUUUCUUUCAGCAAGUAAAAAGAAAGGCAAAACCCAAAAUAAAUAAUAUGUAAUUAUUUUUUAUCUGACUAUUUUUUGGCAUUUGUUUCUGCAUUUCUAAAUAAUGGAACUAUAAUACAUUUUCACUAUUGGUCAAUUUUAGGUAUCAUUUACUUACUACCUAUAAUAAAAGUUAAAAUUGUAGCUAUGAAAGGACCCCUUUAAUGCUAAAAAUAUCACAGGAAAUAUUUGCAUUACCUAAGUCAAUACGUAAGUCAGCCAGGAAGAACAUUUACAAGACAAAGUUGAUCAUGAUACUCUCUUGUAAGUGAAGAUGCUAUUAUUUUAUAACCUAGAUGUGAGGAUCUGAAAGUUGUUAAAUAAAGGCUCCAUAUGAGCUCUUGUACUCUGUAAAAUGUCCUCUUAAGUUAGCUUUAGCUAAACUAACAUACUGCCAGGGAACAGUGUUAAUGUGUUUAAUUACCAAGCUCUUUCCAAGAAAGCCUUGUCACUUGUUCACUGGUCUUAUUGCCACUUUCUGUCUUCACUCUACUUCUACCUUUCCACAAACACAUCAGUACAGAUAUUUGCAUGUUUUGCACUUCUCCACAGUUUGUACUAGUUUCUAGAAGAAAUUUUUUACUGUCAAUUAAGGCAAUGCUUUAUUCACAUGUGGCUGCCACUAGAGAAAUGUCUUAAAUUAACAAAGAAAUAAAUCCAUUAAAAAAAAUGUUUCUCUGUUGCCUGUGCCUUUUGUGAAACCCCAAUUCACAUGCUCACUAACUUUUAAAAUCAUAUAAAAUUUUAAGAGCAAAAGAAUUUUAUUACAGUGUGAUGCAGGGUUAACCGUUUUGAAAUGAUACUUAUACUGCCUAAAUUAUACCUGGUCAUCCAAGUAGAAACUAACAAUGAUUGGGUAAUAAACAGAUGGAAACCAGGUUGCUAAGGAAAAGGAACAGGAAAUGAACUCCCUAAUUAGAUAACAAAGGUUUUGUCUACAUAAUGCCAAAAUAACUAAUUUAAUAUUUUGAAUCAGUUAGAUUGGGUUUUAUCAUGUAAGCAAAACAGAGAACUGAUUCCCUGAUGCUUUCGUUCUAUCUUCAGUUGUUUGUGGCAUUAUAGAGACAACACUUACGUAUGUUUCAAGCUACUUUACCUUUGUAUUUCAGGCCACAUUUCCUAGGGAGACUGUCUAAGGGAAAAUGAUUUUCUCUUUAGUUAUGAGACAAAGCCUAUACCUACAAAUUAGUUUGAUCACUUUGGUUGAGUUUACUAGUAAAGAGCCCUCCUAAAUAGUUUACAUGAUAUGUGUCUACACGUGUGUAUCUGAUUUGCCAAAAUUGAAAUAUUUUGUACAUGGCAAAUACGUUCUUUAAAUGUGUAAGCAAAUAGGUUUAUUUUAGUCAACAAUUGAUGACAGGAUAGAAAAAUAACCAGAAAUGUGGAUCCAGCUCUUAUCAUAGAAAAUUUGUACUCCUGUAGAUUCCAUGACAUCCUCACCUCCUGGUUUAUCUUUGACCUUUCUUUUGGAAUUUCUAAGGGUAGGCAUUGAAGUCUUCCAUUAGUCCUUGAAAACUCAGUCAUUACUCCUUUAAGUAUUGUCUCCCCUUUAUUAUCUCUCUCUCUCUCUCCUUCUGGGACUCCGAUUAGUUACAUACUAGGCCUCCCGACAUGUUCUCCCAGUCUCUUAGCCUCUUUCUCAUAUUUUCUAUCUCCUUAUCCCUCUAUGCUACAUUCUGAUUAAUUUCCUCAGAUGUAUCUUCGAGGUAAUUAGUUUUUUUUUCAUCCAUAUUGGUUGAAUCUACCAUUAAAUCUAUUUAUUCAGGAUUAUUUAUAAUUUUUAGUUUUUAUUUUUAUCUAAUUAAUAAGUGUGAAUUAAAAAAUCAAAUGAUUCUACAAACUAUGCAAUUCUUAGAACCUCUCUCCUUUUAUUUCUUCAUCCUGAGAAAUAAUUUUUUUGUUCUUUUAUCUGAUUAUUUUGGCGUUUGUCUCAGCAUUUCUAAAUAAUAGGACUAUAAUACAUUUUUAUUAUUGGUCAGUUUUAGGUAUCAUUUACUGACUUCCUAUAAUAACAGUUAAAAUUUAGUUAUUAAAGUAUCAUUUUAAUGUGGAAACUCAUAAACUUCAGUUGUGGGCACUAUUCUGAAAUUAUUUAAAUGAUUACUUCCUCUCAAUUUUCUCUGUUCUCUCUUUUUAGAACUUCCAUCUGGAAGUUAUAUCUCCAGCAUUCAUUUUCUAAUACUUUUUACACUUAUUAUUUUUUGCUUUACUUUCUGGAACAUUUUCUUGACUCUAUCUUUUAGCACUUCUCCAAAGUUUUUCAUUACUGCUAUUAUAUUUUUAAUUACUGAGAUCUUUUUAUUCCCUUAAGUAUUCCUUUUUAUAGCACUGUGUUCUUACUUUAUGGUUUGCCAUCUUUCCUUUUUUCUUUAAGGAUACUAAUUGUUGUAUUAAAGAGUUUUAUUUCCAUGUAUCCUCUCUACAGCCUGCAAAGCACUUGUUCUUAUACGUUUUCUUUCAUCUCUAUAUCUCUUGUUAGAGGUUUCCCCUAGAUGUGUGCUCAUUUGUUGUUGUCUGCACAUGAUUAAGAGUAGUGGAAUCCUCUGAGGCCUGUUGACAAUAAGCCUCAUUGUAGGAUGAUGUGGCUGGAGCUUUCAUUUGGCAAACUUCUGAUAUCAGAAUCUUAGGUCUUUCAUUUGAGGCUGUCAUAUUUCCACAUUUGUCUGGAGAGUAAAGACCUAAUUGACAGCAUUCUUAGAGCCAGUUAGGGUAAGAGAGGUAGAGUUUUUGGUGGGGGAGUUAGAAGGGGCUUCUUCACUUUGUUGCUUAUUUCCUUUGCUGUGCAGAAGCUUUUUAACUCAAUGCGAUCCCAUUUAUCCUUUUUUCUUUGGCUGCCUAUGCU
RNAcentral lists this long non-coding RNA (14164 nucleotides) under Homo sapiens (human). Its description in RNAcentral is "HSALNT0315070". Lineage: Eukaryota; Metazoa; Chordata; Mammalia; Primates; Hominidae. The record is from RNAcentral.